AAGUCGUAACAAGGUCUCCGUUGGUGAACCAGCGGAGGGAUCAUUAUAGAGCGUAAAAACCUCUUAAACCCACUGUUAACUUACCUAUUGUUGCUUUGGCAGGCAGUCCCAGGGCGGGACGUUGGCCCUGUGAUCUUGCGGGUGGCCUGCCAAAAGCCCCAUAAACCCUGAAUUUCAGUUGGCUCUCUGAGGAACUAGAAAAAAAUUGUCAAAACUUUCAACAACGGAUCUCUUGGUUCUG
RNAcentral lists this unclassified non-coding RNA (241 nucleotides) under fungal sp. Its description in RNAcentral is "partial internal transcribed spacer region". The stretch from base 1 to 46 matches the Rfam family "Eukaryotic small subunit ribosomal RNA", at positions 1786 to 1831 of the family's 1831-position model. Lineage: Eukaryota; Fungi. The record is from RNAcentral.